RNAcentral lists this ribosomal RNA (503 nucleotides) under uncultured Desulfobulbus sp. RNAcentral's name for it is "bacterial SSU rRNA". It matches the Rfam family "Bacterial small subunit ribosomal RNA", at positions 885 to 1382 of the family's 1533-position model. The record is from RNAcentral. Lineage: Bacteria; Pseudomonadati; Thermodesulfobacteriota; Desulfobulbia; Desulfobulbales; Desulfobulbaceae.
GCCAGCCCGCUCAGAAACUCAAAGGAAUUGACGGGGCCGCACAAGCGGUGGAGUAUGUGGUUUAAUUCGAUGCAACGCGAAGAACCUUACCUGGUCUUGACAUCCCGGAGACCCUUAGGAAACUAGGGGGUGCUUCCAUCUGGAAGAAUCUGGAGACAGGUGCUGCAUGGCUGUCGUCAGCUCGUGUCGUGAGAUGUUGGGUUAAGUCCCGCAACGAGCGCAACCCUUGCCUUUAGUUGCCAGCAGUUCGGCUGGGCACUCUAAAGGGACUGCCGGUGUUAAACCGGAGGAAGGUGGGGAUGACGUCAAGUCCUCAUGGCCUUUAUGACCAGGGCUACACACGUACUACAAUGGCCGAUACAAAGGGCAGCGACACUGCGAGGUGAAGCCAAUCCCGUAAAAUCGGUCUCAGUCCGGAUUGGAGUCUGCAACUCGACUCCAUGAAGUUGGAAUCGCUAGUAAUCGUGGAUCAGCAUGCCACGGUGAAUACGUUCCCGGGCCUU